GCCUCCGCCCGCUCCGGCACCUGAUUCGCGGCCCGGCCCGGCCCCGCGGAGGAGGAGGAGCGGGAGGCCGCCCGGCAGGUGGUUCCAGCACAGAUGAUUUCCCAAUUCCUGGAGGGGAGUGGUCAGGAAGGGACCCCCAAUUCCACCAGGAAAAAUCCCCACGCUGUGAAGAGAUCAACAGCUACUCUCCUAUUUCCGAUGUGCUUUGUCAAGAGCCUCCCCAAACAGCAGCAGUCUACAAUGUCAGUUGAACAAGACCAAUACACGUACGUGCCUGAAACGAAGCAGGAAUGGAGAUCCCUGAGCCCUGAAAGCGGGAAGGGUGUUGCGAAGAAGGGAGGCAGAAUACAAAGAGGUUUUUUGCCUCUCGAAAGCUCAGACCCUGGAAAUCUAGUUGGUCAUUAAGGUGAUACUUCGUCUGAAUCUUGCUCUUUU
Molecule: long non-coding RNA, 435 nt
Organism: Eublepharis macularius
Lineage: Eukaryota; Metazoa; Chordata; Lepidosauria; Squamata; Eublepharidae
Exons: 3
Source: RefSeq, a predicted model, not a curated record